This 816-nucleotide ribosomal RNA is filed under the name Triticum aestivum (bread wheat). Its description in RNAcentral is "partial small subunit ribosomal RNA". The record is from RNAcentral. Lineage: Eukaryota; Viridiplantae; Streptophyta; Magnoliopsida; Poales; Poaceae.
AUGAAGAAGGCACGAGAGCUAGAGGUUCUUGAGAGACUGAGAGGAGCAGACACUCAUAGAUUCAUACUGACAUGGAAGGAAAAUAGAGAUAUCAGAUUCACUGUGGACUACACCCCAGGUAACUUAGAAAAAACUGUCAAGUGCAGUUGCAGAAGCAUGUAUCGCAAAGGACUUCCUUGCAAACAUAUUCUUCACGUUCUGAUUCAGCUACGCUUACGUGAGAUACCUAAGUGUUUAGUACUGCGGAGGUUGAGCCAAGUUGCAAGGGGUGGACUUCCCGUGAAGCGCACUAGCGAUCUGUUUGCAUGGGGAUGGGCAGGUGCAGGGGACAGAGCUAGGUACAGCGAGUUGUCUAUCUUAUCUGCUGAAGCAACUCAUAAAGCAUGUCAUAAACCAUUUUUAUUCGACAAGUUGAAGGCGGCUCUGAGGGACAUAAUAGAUAAUGAUUACACUGAGGAGGAUGAGCCUGGUGCGGAGGUACAGUUUGUGAACGACGAUGCAUUCGAGCCUAAUCAAGACCAUGGUCUUGUUCGUGAUCCCGCAAAAGUUAACACCAAAGGCGCACCAAAACAGAAUGUUCAAGGCCGCGGUAAGGAUGGUCCUGAUGUCACUAAAAAUGGGCGACCAAAAGCUUUUGAUGAGAAAAGCAAACGUCAAUGUGGACUGUGCGGUGUUACGGGUCAUUAUAGGUCCACGUGCCCUCAAAAUCCUAAGUAUGAUUUUCUUAUGUUAUUGUAUAUAUUAUUGUUCAAACCGAAUUUAUUUGUUCAUUGUGAAUUAACACAUAUCUUAUUGUUAUGUAGGAACUUUGCUUAA